Molecule: long non-coding RNA, 1165 nt
Organism: Puntigrus tetrazona (Sumatra barb)
Lineage: Eukaryota; Metazoa; Chordata; Actinopteri; Cypriniformes; Cyprinidae
Exons: 2
Source: RefSeq, a predicted model, not a curated record
UGGAGAGCUGCUCUCAGUACAGCAGCUGCUCUGAAUGUCUGAACUCCAGAGACCCUCACUGCGGCUGGUGUGUCCUUCACAACAUCUGUUCUCGCCGUGAUCGCUGUGAGACAGCCGACGAGCCGCAGGGGUUCACCUCCAGAGUAGAUCAGUGUGUGGAGCUCACCGUCCAGCCCAACACUAUCUCUGCCUCUGUGGCCGAAGUCCAUGUGUGUCUAAAUUAGAGCAGAUACGGCAUGCCUUUAUCACCGGCAGAGUGGAUUAUUGUAAUGAUCUCCUCACUCCUUUCCAAGAAGACCAUUACAGUUGCAGAUAAUCCAGAACGCUGCUGCCGGGAUUUUAACUAGAACCAGAAAAUAUGAGCAUAUGACACCGCUCCUCAGGUUCUUACACUGGCUUCCAGUUACAUUCAGGAUUGCUUUUAAAGUACUAUUACUCGUUUAUAAAUCACUCAGUGGUCUAAGACCUAAAUACAUUGCAGAUAUGGUCCCUGAAUAUAAACCUAACAGAGCACUCAGAUCAUCAGGAUCUUGUUUGUUAGAAAUACCAAGGUUUCACACAAAACAAGAGGAGUCCGCUUUUUAGCUAUUAUGCUGCUUGCAGUUGGAACCAGCUUCCAGAAGAGAUCAGGUAUGCUAAAAUAUGCUAAAAAUAGUUUUAAAACUCACCCAUUUAGCUGUGCAUUUACUGAAUGAGCUGUGUUACGUCUGAACUGACUGCACUGCAUUUUAUGUAUAAUCAUUUUAUAUUCUUAACUGUUUCAAUUUAUUUUUAAUCUAUUUUUAAAUCGUUUUUGAAAUGUUUUUAUUGUUAUUGUCUUAUUUUUGUGAUCGUUUAAUUUCCUUGCCAUUAGUUAACAGUAGUUAACAACAUUGGUUAGCAUGAGCUAAGAAGAUUAAUCUAAGUUAAUUUCAGUAAUUACUAAUGCAUUAUUAAAAUCAAUACACUAACAUCAGUUAGUGCACUUAAAUAAACAAUUAUUUUCAUUAACAUUAGUGUAAUGUAUUGUUCAUUGUUUCUUCAUGUUAGUCAAUACAUUAGCUAAUGUUAACAAAUGACACCUUAUUGUAAAAUGUUACCAAUUUCCUUUUAUGUACAGCAUUUGGAUUAAGCAUUGUGUAUGACAUGUGCUGUGACAAUAAAAUUGCCUUGCUUCAAGUAUUUA